RNAcentral lists this ribosomal RNA (253 nucleotides) under uncultured bacterium. Its description in RNAcentral is "partial 16S ribosomal RNA". It matches the Rfam family "Bacterial small subunit ribosomal RNA", at positions 524 to 776 of the family's 1533-position model. The record is from RNAcentral.
UACGUAGGGGGCAAGCGUUGUCCGGAAUCAUUGGGCGUAAAGCGCGCGUAGGCGGCCCGGUAAGUCCGUUGUGAAAGUCAAAGGCUCAACCUUUGAACGCCGAUGGAUACUGCCGGGCUAGAGUCCGGAAGAGGCGAGUGGAAUUCCUGGUGUAGCGGUGGAAUGCGUAGAUAUCCGGAGGAACACCGGUGGCGAAGGCGGCUUCCUGGACCGACACUGACGCUGAGGCGCGAAAGCUAGGGGAGCAAACGGG